UCCGCGCUCCGCCGCUCUAGUGUUUGAUCCUGGCUCAGGAUGAACGCUGGCGGCGUGCCUAAUACAUGCAAGUCGAGCGAACAGACAAGGAGCUUGCUCCUUUGACGUUAGCGGCGGACGGGUGAGUAACACGUGGGUAACCUACCUAUAAGACUGGGAUAACUUCGGGAAACCGGAGCUAAUACCGGAUAAUAUUUCGAACCGCAUGGUUCGAUAGUGAAAGAUGGUUUUGCUAUCACUUAUAGAUGGACCCGCGCCGUAUUAGCUAGUUGGUAAGGUAACGGCUUACCAAGGCGACGAUACGUAGCCGACCUGAGAGGGUGAUCGGCCACACUGGAACUGAGACACGGUCCAGACUCCUACGGGAGGCAGCAGUAGGGAAUCUUCCGCAAUGGGCGAAAGCCUGACGGAGCAACGCCGCGUGAGUGAUGAAGGUCUUCGGAUCGUAAAACUCUGUUAUUAGGGAAGAACAUACGUGUAAGUAACUGUGCACGUCUUGACGGUACCUAAUCAGAAAGCCACGGCUAACUACGUGCCAGCAGCCGCGGUAAUACGUAGGUGGCAAGCGUUAUCCGGAAUUAUUGGGCGUAAAGCGCGCGUAGGCGGUUUUUUAAGUCUGAUGUGAAAGCCCACGGCUCAACCGUGGAGGGUCAUUGGAAACUGGAAAACUUGAGUGCAGAAGAGGAAAGUGGAAUUCCAUGUGUAGCGGUGAAAUGCGCAGAGAUAUGGAGGAACACCAGUGGCGAAGGCGACUUUCUGGUCUGUAACUGACGCUGAUGUGCGAAAGCGUGGGGAUCAAACAGGAUUAGAUACCCUGGUAGUCCACGCCGUAAACGAUGAGUGCUAAGUGUUAGGGGGUUUCCGCCCCUUAGUGCUGCAGCUAACGCAUUAAGCACUCCGCCUGGGGAGUACGACCGCAAGGUUGAAACUCAAAGGAAUUGACGGGGACCCGCACAAGCGGUGGAGCAUGUGGUUUAAUUCGAAGCAACGCGAAGAACCUUACCAAAUCUUGACAUCCUUUGACAACUCUAGAGAUAGAGCCUUCCCCUUCGGGGGACAAAGUGACAGGUGGUGCAUGGUUGUCGUCAGCUCGUGUCGUGAGAUGUUGGGUUAAGUCCCGCAACGAGCGCAACCCUUAAGCUUAGUUGCCAUCAUUAAGUUGGGCACUCUAAGUUGACUGCCGGUGACAAACCGGAGGAAGGUGGGGAUGACGUCAAAUCAUCAUGCCCCUUAUGAUUUGGGCUACACACGUGCUACAAUGGACAAUACAAAGGGCAGCGAAACCGCGAGGUCAAGCAAAUCCCAUAAAGUUGUUCUCAGUUCGGAUUGUAGUCUGCAACUCGACUACAUGAAGCUGGAAUCGCUAGUAAUCGUAGAUCAGCAUGCUACGGUGAAUACGUUCCCGGGUCUUGUACACACCGCCCGUCAAGAUGUAGA
RNAcentral lists this ribosomal RNA (1437 nucleotides) under Staphylococcus haemolyticus. RNAcentral describes it as "bacterial SSU rRNA". It matches the Rfam family "Bacterial small subunit ribosomal RNA". Lineage: Bacteria; Bacillati; Bacillota; Bacilli; Caryophanales; Staphylococcaceae. The record is from RNAcentral.